RNAcentral lists this ribosomal RNA (488 nucleotides) under uncultured bacterium. RNAcentral's name for it is "partial 16S ribosomal RNA". It matches the Rfam family "Bacterial small subunit ribosomal RNA", at positions 30 to 507 of the family's 1533-position model. The record is from RNAcentral.
AUUGAACGCUGGCGGCAGGCCUAACACAUGCAAGUCGAACGGUAGCACAGAGAGCUUGCUCUCGGGUGACGAGUGGCGGACGGGUGAGUAAUGUCUGGGAAACUGCCCGAUGGAGGGGGAUAACUACUGGAAACGGUAGCUAAUACCGCAUAAUGUCGCAAGACCAAAGGGGGGGACCUUCGGGCCUCUUGCCAUCGGAUGUGCCCAGAUGGGAUUAGCUUGUUGGUGAGGUAAUGGCUCACCAAGGCGACGAUCCCUAGCUGGUCUGAGAGGAUGACCAGCCACACUGGAACUGAGACACGGUCCAGACUCCUACGGGAGGCAGCAGUGGGGAAUAUUGCACAAUGGGCGCAAGCCUGAUGCAGCCAUGCCGCGUGUGUGAAGAAGGCCUUCGGGUUGUAAAGCACUUUCAGCGGGGAGGAAGGCAAUGCGGUUAAUAACCGUGUUGAUUGACGUUACCCGCAGAAGAAGCACCGGCUAACUCCGUG